Molecule: ribosomal RNA, 492 nt
Filed under: uncultured bacterium
Lineage: Bacteria
Description: partial 16S ribosomal RNA
Rfam family: Bacterial small subunit ribosomal RNA
Source: RNAcentral
AUUGAACGCUGGCGGCAUGCUUUACACAUGCAAGUCGAACGGUAACAGGCCUUCGGGUGCUGCCGAGUGGCGAACGGGUGAGUAAUGCAUCGGAACGUACCCAGAGGUGGGGGAUAACGCAGCGAAAGCUGUGCUAAUACCGCAUGUGAUCUGAGGAUGAAAGCGGGGGACCGAGCAGCAAUGUUUGGCCUCGCGCCUUUGGAGCGGCCGAUGUCGGAUUAGCUAGUUGGUGGGGUACAGGCCUACCAAGGCGACGAUCCGUAGCUGGUCUGAGAGGACGACCAGCCACACUGGGACUGAGACACGGCCCAGACUCCUACGGGAGGCAGCAGUGGGGAAUUUUGGACAAUGGGCGCGAGCCUGAUCCAGCAAUGCCGCGUGCGGGAAGAAGGCCUUCGGGUUGUAAACCGCUUUUGGCAGGAACGAAACGGUGUCCGCUAAUACCGGGCGCUAAUGACGGUACCUGCAGAAUAAGCACCGGCUAACUACGUG